Mesocricetus auratus (golden hamster) is the source of this 759-nucleotide long non-coding RNA. RefSeq lists it as uncharacterized. NCBI's taxonomy places the organism in Eukaryota, Metazoa, Chordata, Mammalia, Rodentia, Cricetidae. The record is from RefSeq and is a predicted model, not a curated record. The transcript has 2 exons.
GAGCGAGUUUCAGAGUCCACCUGGGUCCUCUCGCAGCGCCUGACCGACACCGUUGGCCAGGACAAGCCCUCCACCCUCACUGUCCCAGGUUCCAUCGCGAACUCCAUGAUAGUUUCCAUUUUCUGCUCACUCUUCCCCUGUGCUGGCCGUGCUCUGCUAGGCUCCUUCUACAUGUUACAGUAGCCCUGUCGGCCCUCUUUUAUACGGAAACCGAGGCUGAGGAAAGCCAGGACUAACCCAGAGUCACACCACUAAUAAAUCACACUUUAAUCUCAGUUUAGACAGGUCCAGAUCCCAUGCUGUCAGCCACUGCCCAGUACCGAUAGCACUCAAGGCCUCUGGCUCUGUGACUCAGUGUUGUGACACAAGGGGAUUGAGGUGAAGACUGCGCAUGCGAUGUACGCCUGGGGAACCUCAGCCGGGUGACCUGGGCACGCCCCCGACAGGUUCCCCAGGGGUCUCACACGGUCCUCCACAGAGUGCGCAGUUCACACGCGGCUUGGAGGGCCAGCUUCGCUGUGGCUCUGGAGUUGGGGCUGGUGAGAUGGCUCACUGGGUAAAAGCACCUGCCACCAAGCCUGAUGAUAAUUAUGAUAAUUUCUGUACCUGGUACCUACGUGGUAGGAGAAAACUGAUCCCCACAGCUUGUCUUCUGACCUCCACAUAUAUGCUGUGACACGUUCCCCUGCCUCCUACCAAAAAAUAAAUAAAUGCAAAGAAAAAAUUUUAAGAUGAAAAUAAAAAUACCUUAUCAUCCCA